This 191-nucleotide unclassified non-coding RNA is filed under the name uncultured fungus. RNAcentral's name for it is "sequence contains ITS1, 5.8S rRNA gene". The record is from RNAcentral. Lineage: Eukaryota; Fungi.
UAAAAUAAUGGUUGGCGCACUCAGUGGAGGUUUACCAAAACUGGGCGCGCUGCUACACCUCUGUGCACUGUAAUAGUAUCGGGUCAAAGUAACGAAGUCCUUUGGGAUUGCGAAGCCUUGGCCCACCAACGGUUUCGACCGUAUAAACAACUUUUUAAUUUGACUGACUUUUGUUUCUAACGAAUCAAAAA